UCCCUGGUGGUCUAGUGGUCAGGAUUUAGUGCUGUUGUUGCUAUAGCCUAGGUUCAAUCUCUGGUCUGGGAA
This 72-nucleotide transfer RNA is filed under the name Sus scrofa (pig). It matches the Rfam family "tRNA". From Rfam's summary of the family: Transfer RNA (tRNA) molecules are approximately 80 nucleotides in length. Their secondary structure includes four short double-helical elements and three loops (D, anti-codon, and T loops). Further hydrogen bonds mediate the characteristic L-shaped molecular structure. tRNAs have two regions of fundamental functional importance: the anti-codon, which is responsible for specific mRNA codon recognition, and the 3' end, to which the tRNAs corresponding amino acid is attached (by aminoacyl-tRNA synthetases). tRNAs cope with the degeneracy of the genetic code in two manners: having more than one tRNA (with a specific anti-codon) for a particular amino acid; and 'wobble' base-pairing, i.e. permitting non-standard base-pairing at the 3rd anti-codon position. Lineage: Eukaryota; Metazoa; Chordata; Mammalia; Artiodactyla; Suidae. The record is from Rfam by way of RNAcentral.